GAUGAACGCUAGCGGCAGGCUUAAUACAUGCAAGUCGAGGGGCAGCAGCUUUGUAGCAAUACAAGGGCUGGCGACCGGCAAACGGGUGCGGAACACGUACGCAACCUUCCUUUAACUGGAAGAUAGCCCACCGAAAGGUGGAUUAAUACUCCAUAACAUAUUGAAGAGGCAUCUCUUUGAUAUUAAAGCUCCGGCGGUUAAAGAUGGGCGUGCGUCUGAUUAGGUAGUUGGCGGGGUAACGGCCCACCAAGCCUUCGAUCAGUAGCUGAUGUGAGAGCAUGAUCAGCCACACGGGGCACUGAGACACGGGCCCGACUCCUACGGGAGGCAGCAGUAAGGAAUAUUGGUCAAUGGACGCAAGUCUGACCAGCCAUGCCGCCGUGGAGGAGUGAAGGGACCCGUCCUGGGUUUGGUAAAC
RNAcentral lists this ribosomal RNA (418 nucleotides) under uncultured bacterium. Its description in RNAcentral is "bacterial SSU rRNA". It matches the Rfam family "Bacterial small subunit ribosomal RNA", at positions 28 to 430 of the family's 1533-position model. The record is from RNAcentral.